Molecule: ribosomal RNA, 440 nt
Filed under: uncultured bacterium
Lineage: Bacteria
Description: partial 16S ribosomal RNA
Rfam family: Bacterial small subunit ribosomal RNA
Source: RNAcentral
CCUACGGGAGGCAGCAGUGGGGGAUAUUGCACAAUGGGGGGAACCCUGAUGCAGCGACGCCGCGUGGGUGAAGAAGCGCCUCGGCGCGUAAAGCCCUGUCAGCAGGGAAGAAAAUGACGGUACCUGUAGAAGUAGCCCCGGCUAACUACGUGCCAGCAGCCGCGGUAAUACGGAGGGGGCAAGCGUUAACCGGAUUUACUGGGUGUACCGGUGGCGCAGACGGCGAUGCAAGACAGGAGUGAAAGCCCGGGGCCCAACCCCGGGACUGCUCUUGGAACUGCGUGGCUGGAGUGCAGGAGGGGCAGGCAGAAUUCCUGGUGUAGCGGUGAAAUGCGUAGAUAUCAGGAGGAACACCGGUGGCGAAGGCGGCCUGCUGGACUGCAACUGACGUUGAGGCCCGAAAGCGUGGGGAGCAAACAGGAUUAGAUACCCCAGUAGUC